RNAcentral lists this long non-coding RNA (15110 nucleotides) under Triticum aestivum (bread wheat). RNAcentral's name for it is "long non-coding RNA (TAES_LNC009194)". The record is from RNAcentral. Lineage: Eukaryota; Viridiplantae; Streptophyta; Magnoliopsida; Poales; Poaceae.
AUACUUCAUAUAUAUAUAUUGUCCUGUUCAAUCUUAGGCUUAAUAACAUACCAGCAGCCGGAAUUGUUCAAGGUGAAAUUUGUCUUCACUAAAGGUGUACGCACACAUGCAGGUUCUCGAGGAGGUAGGGAGGCUAAUGGAGGAGUACAAGGACGAGGUGACCAGCAUCACCGUCACCGGCCAUAGCCUUGGAGCGUCACUCGCCACCCUCACCGCCAUCGACCUGGUGGCCAACGACGUCAACGUGCCCCCUAACUCGAAGCAACCGCCGUGCCCCGUGACAGCGAUACUGCUGGCGUGCCCGCGAGUCGGGAACCCCACGUUCAAGUCCGCCUUCGACUCAUUCCACCUCCUGCGGGCACUCCACGUGGCGAACGCCAAAGACCUCGUGCCACAGAACCCUCCCUCUGUGUUGUUAAUGUGGUACGUGGACUGCGCGACAGCAACGAUCGUAAUUGACACGGACCGGUCACCCUACGUGUUUCACAAAAUAUCGACCCACCACGUCCUCGAGUUGUACCUGCACGGUGUCGCAGGGGAUCAUGGCGACAAGGCGGACUUCAAACUAGUGGUUCCCCGCGACGUGGCGCUGGUGAACAAGACUAUCGACCUGCUGACAGACGAAUACCCAGUGCCGGGGAGCUGGUGGGUCAUUAAAAACAAAUGCAUGGUCAAGGGCACCGAUGGCCAGUGGAAACUCGAUGACUUCGAAGAAGCAUAGUUAAGUGGUUAAGACGGUAUACAACAUUGUUGCCUAUGGAUUCGGCAUGUACUAUAUAUGCUCUUGUGCUUGCUUGUGUGUUUGCAUUUCAAUCAUGUUGUCGGGCGUGAAUAUUUGUAGCAGAUGACGGCCUGGCCGAUCAUUCAGUUAUUGUCCUUCUAUUUCAUGCCUCCUACAAGUCUCGCUAUAUCAUGUACUUAUGCAUUGCUUCAUUGCUUUUAAAAAUGUCAUAUCCCGUGUCUAAAAGAGCUUCUUCUUUUUUAAUCUAAAGUGGCAUGUUCUUGGUGUUAAUGACAUGUACUUAGCCGAUUCAUGGUGCGUGAAUUGAGUUGGACGAACACAGGUAGUCCCGAGAAAAGAAAGAAAGCUGGUUCGGGAUCAAUCAACCAAAGCAAAAAGACUAAAUAAGACAGCUCGGUUAAAAUAGAUUUUGAUUUCUAUAUAACUUAAUGACUUUGGUCGUCAAGAGUCAUGGUCUCAUGGAAGCCAUACGUACUACAUUGAGAGGUUGGGUAAAUGAUUAACAGAAAUAGGGUGAACUAAAAUCGCAUAUCAUUGAGAUUCAAAAAGCAUCUCACUGGUGUUAGGAUAUUCUAGCCACAUCAUAUGUCCAUAUAAAACAGUAUUUCAGACCCGCAAAAAGAACAGUAUUUCAGAAAUCGCAAUAUGCAAAAAAAAAAAAACUCACACCACCACAAUACAUGUCGUCUCUGUGGGUAAAUUAAUUGAAGCUGCCCUAUAUGAAAACUGUCCCAACCAUCAGAUGCCAGGUGUCAGGCUUCUCCUUGGCAUCGAGUGAAAUCCAUUAUAUGCUAGAAAUUGGCCGUGUUUGCUGAAUCAAUCAAAGGGCAUGUACGCGUUUAUUAUCUAGGAGUAUCUUAGAACCUAACUUGCUCCUUAAUUCGCUUAAAAUAGAUUUUUGAUCUCCAUAUAACUUAAUGACUUUGGUCGUCAGAUUUUUGAUCUCUAUAUAACUUAAUGACACAGGUAGUCCCAAGAAAUGAGCUUGAUUCGAUUCUUACUCCAGCAACUCACACCCCCUCCCUCCCCCUCCCCCCCCGGGCGACCCGGGCGGCAGCGCGAGCUCCACUCCCAGUCCUCCUCUCCCCCCCUGGGGCCGCCGCCAGGGCAAAGCCCCACAAGGUGACUGGCGGCGGGGCACCUUCUCCCCUUUUCCCUUGUGGCGGUGGGCGCGGGGCUCCCUGCCGGGGCAGAGGCGCCGGGCGGACGCGAGGCCCCGCAGCAGCGUGCUGGCUGAUGCGGCGCGACGGCAGUGGAGCGGCUGAUCGAGGCCCGGCGGCUGCGUCCCGGAGCGGCGUCCGACAUCCAGGUCUGGAUCCGGGGGCUUCGGGUCUUAUGGUGGUUUCCCUCGUCGGUUGCCUGUUGCUGGCUGGCCGGCGGUGGGGAAGACACACACCUGCGGGCCACGGCUGGUCAUGGCCGGCAGGGCGUGCGGGCCGAGGUGGCUAAGGCCGGAAGCUGCGGUCUCACCCCGGCAGUUCUUGCUGAUGGUGGCUGUGGUGCUCUGCCUGGUCGGGGGUGCAAGGCCUCAGCUUGGCAGGGAGGCGAUGCGGGCCUGUGGGGGCGUCGACGGCGCUGCGCUGGGUUCUGCUGAUGCCGCAAGGUGGUGGAGUUGCCCUUCUUCUCCUGCAUGUGGACCGACAGUACGCGGGGCUGGGCGGGUGCCCUUAAUGCUGGCCGCACGUAGAACGGGGGAGGUUUGGGGCCUGACACGGAUCGGAGCCUGUGCUUCGGGUAGAUGUGGUCGGGCGUGGCCUGGGAUUUGCCCCCGCGGGUGGUGGUUGUUCUCUCCUCACGGGUAACGUGGUCAGUGGUGGUGGCGGGGACAUCGUCGCUUUGGUAGGUGGCUCGUCACCGGUGAACAGAAAAAAGAAAAGAAAAAAAUAAUAAUAUAAAAACCGAAGAAAAAACCAGCCCGGUUGAAAAGGAAAACCAAAGUCUUCUUUUUUAGCGUUAUAUUUGACGCACUACAAAAGAUGGAAAACGAAAAACUUAGAACAUGAUCAACAGAGGUGUUUGAGUAGGCGAGAUGGCUCUGUCUAAGAGCACGUAGUUUCCUGACAUGCUUGAAAUGGCCCCAUUUUUUUCAUGCCUUAUCCUAUAUCCUAUAUACUUAAGAAGUUUACCUCCACUACUUCAUUUAUCUCAACAUGCAGCAUAGCCAUGUCAUCAUCCAAUCACAUCCAGCCACGUCACACAGUCCCACUCAAGACCACGUCAGGUUUUUUUUUCUUCGUUGGAAGUUUCCAAGCGGAACCCACAACAAAUUGACCAACGUUUCAAGUAUUAAGUCAAAUGCCACGUCGUCCCUUCCAUUACCAGUGUCCAAACUGACAGAGGACCAGCCAUCUCCGAUCUAUAUCGUCUGUUCUCUCCUCUCCCCACAAAAGUGACUCUUCCUUCUCCAGCCUUUUCCUCAACUUUUAAUCUCCUCCAGUGACGCCUGAGCUCCUCUUAAUUGUAAUCCACUCAGAAGCAUCAUGGACAAAUUCACUACAAAGGAGGGAGACGGAUCUCACAUGUUGUUUGUCCACCCCAUCACUGACCUAAAGUCCGCCAAGAACAACACAAAACGGAGAUUCAAUACAAACGAAUCUCCCAUCUGGCAAGCGGCUCCUGCACGGCGUUCUUCAAGAUGCAGCACCGAGAGAAGGGCCGCAUCAGGGUGCUUCUCUCCCUGCCGCCAACGCUUUUCUCCCCCACUUCUUUCACCAGAUCGUGAGGAAAGAUGGGGGGCCGUGUCCGAGAGGAGGGCCGCAUCAGGAGGCUUCUCUCUCCUUCCCGACGCUUUUCUCCCCCACUUCUUGCACCAGAUCGUGAGGAAAGAUGAGCUCGAUUUGUUGUUGGUUCGUACUAUCACAACUAGGUCUCGCCUGGUCACGAGUAACUGAGUAAGUGCUUUUUUUGCAACUUUGCAUCUUCCAGGGCUAUUACCCAUGGUCGCUGGGAACGCCUAUUCUCUCACAUCAGCAAGACCUCGCUGAUUCAGGAAGAAAAAUUGGGCAUAAGUUGCAACCUCCGUUCUCAGGAAGGAGCAUGAUCUCGAUUUUGUGGUGAUUAGUGGCGGUCUCUGUUCUCUUUUUUCAUAAUUACAUUUUAAUUUCAGGCCUUAGUUUGGCUCCAACGGAAAGUCAAAAACAGUUAUGUUUCAGUCUAAGGAUGUUUAUUUGUAUUGCUUUUGUCAUCAGGUGGAGCACAUAAGAUUAUUUUAUCAGAACUGUCCAGGAGCACCUGCAAUGGAAAGUCUUCCGAAAGCUUGGGGAUAUCUUUGCUCGCUUCUUCUGUAUGAUUAAUUUAGUGAACUACAGUGCACAUCAAUGUAUGGAAUACAUAUCAACAAUCAAUUAUAUAACCGUAUUUUUUGGUUUUCUAAUUGAUAAUUUUGUUACUUGCUAGAUUCCUGUUUUGUUUAUGUAUAUUCAGGGCCAUGAUGUGUUCUCUUUCUUUUGCAAUGCUACACGUAGAAGCAUUUGUUUUCUCAGUUUUUUGUAGCAAUUAUUGUGAUCAAACAUCUCAUAUUUGUUCUCUUAUAUUUUGCUCAAAAUCAAUUGUGAACGGGCUCAAAAUCAUCUAUGAAUAUGCUAAUUCACAAUUAUCGUGUACCAUGCAGGAAGGAUCCAAUCCAGUUGGUAUAUGCAACUAAAUGAAUUUUUGUUACAUUUGAACACCCGAGAGAAUCUUUUAUGUUGGGUAAAAAUAUUUGUGCCUUUUUUUUUCAAAUCAAGUAUCAGGUUACUACCAACAUGUUCUGUCGAGUACCAAAAACAAUAGAUUUAUGGAUUCGUAUCGCAAUUAUUUUUACUAUGUAUGUAGAUAAAUUGGUAGUCCUCAAUUGAUAUUCAAUCAUGACUUCAUUUAACUUGCCCAUUUAUUUUGCAAGAAACAUCAUCAGACUAAGAAAAUUCAUUGUUUGUCGUUUCAAACUUUCAUAGCUCCCUAAAUUACAUUAGGGCGGCCGCCAAUAACGUUAGUAUUUUCUUAGAUUCGAUUUAGAUUGUUACCUAAGGAAGGAAAUGCUGAAAUAAUUAGUAGAUUUUUCUUUAAUUAUGCUGAUGUCCUAAAACUUAAUCUUUUACAUCUAGCGACUAUAAUAACCCAAUUGUUUCUGAUUUUUCAUACCAUUCUAUAUAUUCUUUUUUCUGCAAGAUAUUAUUAUAUAUUUUCAUUUUAUGGUAAUUUCUCACUCCAUAAACCCCCCUUCCAUACGGUGCUACAAAUUCCCGCAGCAACGCGUGGGAUGUUCUCUAGUAUGACCAAUUCAAGGCACUAUGCCAAGUUGUUUUGGUUUUCAACAAGUUUUGCAUUUUUCAGAGUUUUCUCGGUCAAAAUCGCCUGAUAAAUGGGCAGACGUGUCACAACUUGCAUACGGUGUCAGAAAUCGUUCAAACCUGGCAUGGAUGACUAUGAUGGUCAUGCCCACCUGGUUGAAAAGGUCGGGGUCAUUUUAAGAAUGUCCAAAUGUAAACCAUGUUUAAUUGAGGAUGUUCGGGUUGGCUAGAAGACUCUACCUGAGGGUACAUUGUUUCUCAACAUCCUUUAAAUGGCCUAAUUUUCCCACCUCCUUCUAUGAUCAAAUCAAGCACCAUGUCAAUUUGUUUAAGUUUUCGAUAAUUCUUGCAUUUUUUAGAGUUUUCUCGGUGAAAACUGGCUGAUAAAUGGCUGGACGUGACACAACAUGCAUAUGGUGUGGGAAAUUCAUUCAAACCUGACAUGGAUGCCUACCAUGGCCAUGCCCGCCUACUGGAGAAGGUAUAUCAUGUUCAACAGAGGGUGUUUGGGUAAGCGAGAAGGGUCCAGUUGAGGGCAUGUUUUUGCGGCAUCCAUUAACUCAAUCGAAAUCUUUCCAUGAUCUUAUAUGACCGAUUAAACGCACCAUGCCAAGUUUUUCUGUUUUUCGACAAAUUCGAUCUUUUCUGUAGAUCUCUCGGUUAAAAAAGGUAGAUAAAUGACAUGACAUGUCGCAACUUGCAUAUUUUGUUGGAAAUCAUUCAAACCUGGCAUGGAUCCUUACCACGGGCAUGCCCCCUGCCUGCAAAAGUUGGGUCCAUUUAAAAAAAUUCAAAACUAGACCUUGUUCAAUGGAGGGUGCACCUGGAUGGGCAUGCCCAUGGUAGACAAUCAUGCUAGGUUUAACAAUUCACGACACCAUAUGCAAGUUGCGACAUGUUCGACCAUUUUAUCGGUCUUCUUUUACCAAGAAAACUCCAGAAAUGCAUAAUUUGUCGAAAACCAAAUCAACUUGGCAGGGUGCCUUGAAUUGCUCAUAAAAUGCCAUGAAAAAAAUUAGGUCCAUUUCUUCUUCUUUUUUGCUGGGGAAAUUGGGGCCAUUUCAAAGAUAUUAAAAAUAACGUGAUAUCAGACGAACCAUUCUGACCUUACCCAAUAAUCUCCGUUGAACAUGGUGUUUUUUAGACAUCCUUGAAAUGACCCCUACUAACAAAUACAAAGGGAUAAAAUUGAAAACAGUAAGUGUUUUCUAAAAGUAUUUAAUAAAAAAAUAUAGAAAAAAGAAUUUAGAAUCAUUAGUUUAAAAAGUUAGUUAAAACAUGUAUUUUGGUAUUGAAAAAAGAUAAAAGUGAAUUAACAAAAUAAGAAAUGAAAUGAAAAAAUAGAAAAGAAAAUAAAAAGCUUAGGCCUUGGCCUAACAAGGCAACGACAUUGCUCCCGUCGGGUGCGUGUGGGCCCAGUCCAACAGCUCACGGAUUUGAAAAAAGUUCAACAAGUUUUUACACAAUAUUCAUGGAUUUGAAAAAAGUUCAAUAAGGAAAUUUGCAAAAAGGUUUUCUCUAUUUUGGGAACCUCGGCUACCCAGCCAUUUUUUCGGUUUUGGGACGUUCUCGGAGGUCGUGAACCGUGUUUUUUCUUUUUCAUUUUUAUCUUCUCUCUUGUUCAUUUUUUGUCUUCUUUGACUUUUCGUUUAUUCUGUUUAUUAUUCUAUUUCUCAUAAAUUUAUUUUUUCAGAAUUCCAAUUUUGUUCAUAUUUUUCUGGAAUUCCAAAUUUGUUACUGAUUUUCAGAAAAUGUUCAUGUUUAAAAUUUUGUUCUUUUAUAAAAAAAAAAUGCUCGUGUUUUGACAUUCUGAGCAAGUUUGAAAGGCAUGAACAUUCUUUUAAAAUUUAUGUACAUUCUUUAAAAAACAAAUGUUAGUAUUUUAUGAACAAAACAGGAAAACCAGGAACCCUAAUGAAAACCGUGCAAAAAAACAUAAACCAAAGAGUGAAGGUGAUGUGUUUUUCUCUUGGCGUUAUGUCUCUCGAACAAGAAGAAGAAAACAAGGUUAGUAGGGAAAAUCAGAUAUGCUAACCCAUAUGGUUUGUGCGGUCACACGUAGUGCGCGAGGGCUGUAGUUCGAAUCCAGCCAACGACACCUAUUUUUUGAUGACUAAAACUAAAAAACCUAAAUGGGCUGAGCCCAUGUGGGAGGGCUGUUCACCGGGUAUUAUAUGAACCUACGGUGUAUACGUAGAAAAAGAGGGUACAAUUUGUGAAAAGUCCAUACUACCCUUUAUACGUUUUGUGAGGGGGGUGUACCGAAGCAUUCCUCGCUUGCUUGGCCGUGCUUUAGAACGUAUAAGUAACAGAAAUGUUGACCUUGUCAAAUAACGCACGAGCCAUUUGUAAGUCGCCUGAAUUCAAAUACGCACAAGUCAAUUUUGGAGAGAACACAAGCACAACUUGAUGGCGAGCUGCGGCGUCCUAGGCAGAGGCGAGGAAGCGGGUUGACCGGUGUGGUUGGGGGUGCAGUGGCUCACCGGGGAAAUUAGAUGGCUAAGGGAGCUUUAGAGGGACGAUCAUGGUUGGCGGCAACACGGCAGUGGGCAGCAGUGAGGAGUAGGUGGGACCACUGAUACCUCUCAAAAGCCUGUUUUGAGAUGUGUAGGAGCGCCGCCGGCCGCAGGUGGGGGAGGCAGGCGUAUCGGCCAAUGGUCAUGGGCGGUUCGGAAGGAGGAAGAGCUUGAGGUAGAAGAUAUAAAACAGGUGUCCAAUGAAGAUCCAAAAUUUUGGCAACUUUCAAAUAGUCAUGCCCUUUUAAUAAAUAAUAUCAGAGAAAUCUCGUAAAACCAUAGGAACCUGAAUAUAUCCAAAAUGCUAGUGCAUUUUAAUAUACUCUUCCAUUUAUAGCAAGAAUAAAUGUGAGUAGUUACGAAAAUUUGACAGGCGGUCACUGCAAUAUAACUAGGUUUGAGCACUGGAACCCAAAUUACCAACCUCAGUGGGGUUGGGACUUGGGACUUGGGACCUGGCUAGCUAGCUCGCUCCCGCCUCGCGCCGUACGUAUCCGUUUGGUAUAUACCUGACUGAGCGUGACAUGGAUAUGCAUGAUCUUCUAGCACGUGCGUACGUGCUACAGUUCAUUGAUAGUUUGGACCCGGGUGCUCAGCUAGCUAGCAUUGAGCGCAUAUGCAUCGAUUUGAACACGUGGGAUGGCACGCAUCUGCCGUCCUCCUAGCAAUGAAUAAUGGAGAUAUGAAAGACCGGUGCCUCCAACAGCCAACAGAUGAAGAUGGUCCGCUGAGGAUAAGACGAUAGAUUCUUCCAUUAUUGCUCUCUUUUUAUUUUCUUCCUCCACACCAUUACUGCAUGCGUGGUAUAUCUCCAACAAAGACUACGAGACGCUCAUAUCCAAGAUUUUCCGACCUCCAAAAUAUAUAAAGACCACAGGACUAGGGAUCCACCAUAGCCACAAUUAUCACAGAUCGAUUACCGCAACAACAACAAUAACAACAAAACAUCACACAUCAGUGACCACUUUUGCAAAACCACAUGCGAUAAGUUUCACCAAAAAAAUACACACUAUCAUGAGUUUUCCAAGUUGCCCGCCACAUUGCAAGAGCCCCUGGGCGCCAAAUGCAAAUCCGAAAGUGAAUCUUGUGAUCCAUCUUCUCUGGCGAAUAAUUACAACGUCAAAUCAAAAGCGCGUUACAUGUAUGCAUGCUCGAUCUACUACUAAUAUGUGUGCUACCGUUCAUUGAUACUUUGACCCAGCUAGCAUCCAGUGGCCGCAUGAAGGUGACGCUAUAACUUGCUGAGGAUAAGAUUAACGAAUGGAUAUGGUUUGCUGAGGAUAAGAUGAUACCCAUUGUUUCGUGAAGUGAAUGAUGGCAUCGCUUGUUUUUUUUUCAAACAUGGGGAAGGGACUUGCAUGCCCAAAUCUGGCCUUAGAUUAACAAAGCAAGGAAUAGCCGGCGAACCUCCCUAGUCGUCCAAAUCGCACACCCGAAACAUUUUAUAUUUCUGUAGUUGAUAUGUAGCUCAAGAGUGGAGUUCAAUACACAUGUUGAUGAAGAAUACAUGUAUGCACCAAGGUCAUUUGGAAUCUCCAAGGAGAACAAGAACGGAAGAGCAGGAGCGCGGAACUGCCUCUUACCUCUCCCCCGCCUCCACUAAGGCAAAUAAAAGAGAGCCAACAGGGAGCCUGCCCCUCCCGGUCUGUGGUCCCAUCGAUCUUAUUAUUAGAGAGGUUCUCACCAGAUCCUCUAUACACCGCUACGAUCCACCUUAGAGAAUAUCAAGUAGAGGAGGAAGACGCGAAGCCAGCGCCACUCACAAGCGCCAGCACACCUCUUGACCUGUACAAAAGAAUGGAGGAGCACAUGAGAGCGCCAGCAACCGUAGUUGCACAACGCCAUGAAUCUGGCAGGAACGCGACGGCAUGGGAACCGCCAUCACUGAAGAUACUUCCUUCGCCUCAUUGCCCUCAAUACAAACUUGAGGGCAAAUAAAAAGGAUCGGAGUAGUUAUCGAAUUUGGAUCCAAACGCCUCAUUAUUCAUCGGGGAGAAGCAAAGAAACAAGAAACCUACCACUACUCACCAAAGAUCCCCCCUUCCACCACCAUUUUGGUCGGCAACACCGAAGAGGGGAAGGAGAGCGGCCUAAAUCUACUGCACAAGGGCCAACCUCAGUCCAAGUUAAUCUAGGUGGAAGGGGGAGUGGAAGAGAGGGGUGGGGUUAUCUGAACGACCAAUGCUACACAGAUGAAUGAUAUGGUACAGGAUUUACGGAGUGGCUUACGUAGGAUUCUGAGGUUGGAGAAUUAGGUGAAGGGCCCCAACCAGUUCAAUUCGGGUGGAGGGGGGGGGGGGUAGUAAGGAAUGUCUCAUAACAAUAGUUUUGCUACUUCUCAGCUACCUGAAUUUUUUUUGUUGCCUAAGUCAGUUUUUCCUUCAUCCCAAGUGCAUGAGAUGUGCACGCCAGACCUCGCCAAAGAAGAAGAAGCCCCACUAUCUAUCUUGAGGGAAGGGGGAGUCAUAGCCUCAUUAUCGANNNNNNNNNNNNNNNNNNNNNNNNNNNNNNNNNNNNNNNNNNNNNNNNNNNNNNNNNNNNNNNNNNNNNNNNNNNNNNNNNNNNNNNNNNNNNNNNNNNNNNNNNNNNNNNNNNNNNNNNNNNNNNNNNNNNNNNNNNNNNNNNNNNNNNNNNNNNNNNNNNNNNNNNNNNNNNNNNNNNNNNNNNNNNNNNNNNNNNNNNNNNNNNNNNNNNNNNNNNNNNNNNNNNNNNNNNNNNNNNNNNNNNNNNNNNNNNNNNNNNNNNNNNNNNNNNNNNNNNNNNNNNNNNNNNNNNNNNNNNNNNNNNNNNNNNNNNNNNNNNNNNNNNNNNNNNNNNNNNNNNNNNNNNNNNNNNNNNNNNNNNNNNNNNNNNNNNNNNNNNNNNNNNNNNNNNNNNNNNNNNNNNNNNNNNNNNNNCACCGGCUAGCCAGGGAGUGAGGGGGAAGGAGAAGGAGGCAAGAGGUUAGUCAUGGUUUGGUCGGCGGCUGCGUGAGGAAGAAGAAGGUGCAGGUUAAAGAUAAACAAUGCUUGAUCUAUUCUUAGCUCUUGGAUGAAGAUCUAAUGGACUUUGAUGAAAAUGAAGUGACAGAUGAUACUUUUUUUCAGGUACCUCUUUUUUGUUAGGGAUGUUUUUUCAGGUACCUGAUAAGUGCCGGGGAGAGUACGUACUCCCGUUGUCUCUUUUUUUUUGCAGGGAGUACUCCCGUUGUCUCGCCGUGUUACACGAUAUAUGCACGGUAGCAUGCAUGCACAAGACUACGGUAGGGUCGUCCCCUAGUUGUUGUUUUUUUGUCCAAAACGAAAGGUGCAUGCUCUCUGAUUGAUCGAUCCAUCUACUAUGAAUGCUCAUAUACAGACACAAGCGCUCAUAUACAGGCGCAUACACUCACCCGUAUGAACGCACACACGCACACCCUAUCUCUAUGAGCAUCUCUGCAAGACUGAGCCGGCAUAUCAUCUUGAGAUUUACGAAGCCACCGUAGGCGCCUCGUCGUCGACGGGAACGUCUCCUCCCACUGAAAGCACAUCGCCGGAAAUUCAGAAAUAAUGCGAGCACCAGGAUUUGAACCCUGGUGGGAUGGGGAUAUCACUGUCCAUCUAACCAUCUCAACCACGGGUUGGUUCGCCUGUGAGCGCAUAUAUAAUGGAGAUAUUUUGUUGAUUUUGUUGAUAUGUUGCACCGAUUUGAACACGUGGGGUGGCACGCAUCGACCGACCUCCACGCAACGAAUAAUGGAGAUAUGAAAGGCCAGUGCCUCCAAGAGCCAACAAGUGAAGAUGGUCCGCUGAGGAUAAGAUGAUAGAAUCUUCCUCCAUUGUUGCUCUUUUUUUUUGUUCUUCCUCUACACCAUUACUGCAUGUAUGUUCCAUAGAAUGCGAUGCUCUGUCCAAGAUUUUCCAACCUCCAAAAUAUAAAAAGACCACAAUGCUAGGGAUCUGCCAUAGCCACAAAUAUCACAAACCGAUCCCGCAACAACAACAACAACAACAACAAAAACAACAACAACAACAACAACAACAACAACAACAACAACAACAAUAACAACAACAGCAACAAAACAUCACACAUUGAUGACCACUUUUGCCAAAGAUGUGGGAUAAGUUUCACCUAAAAACACACUCAGAUUAUGAGUUAUCCAUGUUGCCCAUGCCAGCGCAUUGCAGCAGCCCUUGCCACAUGCAAAUCCGAGAGUGAAUCGUGUGUUCGAUCUCCUCGGACGAAUUACAGCGUCAAAUAAAAAGUGUGUAACACGUAUGCAUGCUUGAUCUGCUAGUAACGUGGUGCUACCAUUUAUUGAUACUUUGCCACAGCUAGCAUGCAGUGACCGCAUGAAUGUGAUGUUGUAGCUGGCUAGGGUCUUCUUCGAUCUACAUAGAUUUUCAAACAUCGAAAAUGGAUAUUGAUCUAUUCAUCUUCAAUAAUAGUAGUACAAUGUACAGUAGAAAAAAUUAAAAAUUACAUCCCAUCCGCAGACUAUGUAAUGACGACUACAAGCUCUGAGGCGAGCUGAAGGCGCGCUGCUGUCAUCGCCCCUCCCUCGCCAGAGCCGGGCAAACAUUAUUGUAGUAGAUAGUCGGGAAGUUGUCAUGCUAAGGCCACAUAGAACUAACGCACCAGAACAGCAACCGCCACCGAUGAAGAGUGUAUAUCUGAAAUAUCCAACCUCAAGACACAAGAACAUAGACGAACGAUGAACAUAUCCGAGAAAAUCCAGCAAAGACAGAUCCGCCGGAGACACACCUCCACACGCCCACCGAUGAUGCUAGACGUAUCAACGGAAUAGGGAGUAGGUGGGGAGACCUUAUUCCAUCUUCAGGGAGCCGCCGCCAUCUCGCCUUCCUGAGCAGGACAAAAACCCUAACAAAAAUAAAAAAAAAGGAUCUAAAAAUGGAGCCCUCCCACCGGCAAGGGUCGGGAUCCACUCCGCCCCCUUGGCCCUAAGGCCACCGGUGACGGGGUGGACCGGCGACGGCACCGACAGGAGGCAGAGGAACCCUAGAUUUUUGGGAGGUGGCGGCUAGCUAGGUCGUCUCAUCUGGCCUCUGAUGGCUGCAACUGCAACAUCGCCCCUAGGAUUGACAGAAAACGGAUAUGAUCUGCUCCGAUACCCACUGGUUUGUGAAGUGAAAGAUGGCAUUGCUCGGUUUUUCAACUGGCAGAAGGGACUCCUAGGAUCCCAAAUCUGGUGUUAGAUUAGCAAAAGUGUUACAGCUGUACACAAAGGACCCUGACAAAAUAAAAAUUACACAUUGGUCCUCCAUUCUACAAUUAUAAGCCCUCAAGAAAAAGGAAAAACACAAUUGGGUUUCGAUCACCAUGGCGACCUCACUGGAGAUGCAAAAGCCACCAUCUCCGGAAGCAACAUUGCCAGCUCUGGGCAACAAGAAUAUGGCCUCCACACUAGAGGUUGAAGAAGGGGGCAUCAAAAAAAGCGAGCAAAGCAAGGAACAACUGGUGAACAACCCUAGCCGCUUAAAUCGCACGCUCUAAACAUUUCCAUGGUUGAUCUGCGGCUCCAGCGCGAAGUUUGAUGCAAAGGUUGAUGAAGAAUACACCGAUACAGCGAGGCCAAUGGGAAUCCCCACGGAUCCAAAGCUCGGAAGAGCGGGAGCGUAGAUUUACCGCUUUUCCUACCGCGCCUCCACGAAGGUAAAUAAGAGAGAGCCAACAGGGAGCUUGCUCCUCCCAAUUCCAGGUCCCAUCAAUAUUAUUAUUAGAGAGGCUCUCACCAAAUCCUCCAUACACCGCUACCAUCCACUUCAGAGAAUAUAAAGUAGAGAAGAAAGACACCGAGCCGAUGCCGAUGGUAGAGCCAGCAUCCGAAGCUAUACAACGACAUGAUCUGGCAGGUAUGCGACGGCAUGGGAGCCGGCAUCACUCAAGGUACUUCCUUCGCCUCGUAGACCUUAACAGGAACUCGAGGGUAAAGAAAAGGACUGGAGUAGUCGUCGAAUCUGGAUCCAAACACCUCAUUAUUUGUCAGGAGAAGCAAAGAAAAAGAAACCUACCACUACGCACGAACAAGCCCCCCUUCCACCCCCAUUCCGGUUGUCAACAUAGGUGGAGAAUAGGGGAAGGAGGGUGUUCUGAAUCUACGACACAAGGGCCGACCUCAGUCCAUGUCAAUCUAGGUGGAAGGGGAAGUGGAAGAGAGGGGUGGGGGUUAUCCGAAUGAGCAAUCCUACACAUAUGAAUGAUAUGGUACAUGAUUAACGAGGUGGCUUGUGUGGGACUUUAUGGUUGCAGAAAUUAGAGGAAGGGCCCCACCCGGAAUGGGGGGGGGGGGUAUUAAGGAAUGUCCGGUGAUAACGGUUUUUCUAUUUCUAAGGUACCGUUUUUGUUGCGUUGGUCACUUUUUCCUUCUCCGUUCCUUCUUCCCGAGUGCAUAAGAUGUGGAGGCCGGACCCCAUUAUCUAUUUUAGGGCGCAAGCCACAACCCCAUUAUCUAUCUUAGGGUGAAGCCACAACCCCAUUAUUUAUCUUAGGGGUGGGGGUGCAGGAGGUCAUCAGAGUUGUUCACUGGUGUGACAGGGAUUAUAGGGAUGGCUGGGNNNNNNNNNNACAACACACUACCAGUAACGGCGCCCACCGCGCACGCGCCCAUGCCGUCGCCGGCGCCGAAGCUUGGAGGUGCAAACAUCGCCAGCCGGUGGCGCGAGCUCCAGGGCUCGGACUCGUGGGUUGGGCUCCUGGACCCGCUGGACUACGACCUCCGACAAUCCAUCAUAUCUUACGGCGAGCUCGCAUCGGCCGCCCACGACGUGUUCAACCUUGAGAAGCGGUCACCUCACGCCGGCUUCUGCUUGUACAGCCGCGACCACCUUCUCGCCGCCUCCACCGUGACCCACCCUGAGUACUACAAGGUCACCAAGUUCCUCUACGCGACCUGCGGGGGAUCAACGGCAUCGAGGUUGGCCACAUCCGUGCCAACGGUGACCAACGCGCUGUUCGUGCAACCGCUGGGAAAGGCCGAGGGGACUCCGACGUCCAACUGGAUGGGUUACGUGGCGGUGGCGACGAACGAGGGAGUUACAGCACUGGGGAGGCGUGACAUCGUCGUGGUGUGGCGCGGCACCGAGAACGAGUUGGAGUGGGAGGAAGACAAGCACUUCCUUCAGGUGUCUGCCGCGCCGGUGUUGGGCCGCUAUGCUGACGAAGAUUACAAGAACGCCAAGGUGCACCGUGGCUUCCUAUCCGUGUACACGUCCAGUGACAACAACUCCAUGUACAACAAGACCAGCGCCAGAGAGCAGGUGAGCCUUGCAUACUUCAUAUAUAUAUAUUGUCCUGUUCAAUCUUAGGCUUAAUAACAUACCAGCAGCCGGAAUUGUUCAAGGUGAAAUUUGUCUUCACUAAAGGUGUACGCACACAUGCAGGUUCUCGAGGAGGUAGGGAGGCUAAUGGAGGAGUACAAGGACGAGGUGACCAGCAUCACCGUCACCGGCCAUAGCCUUGGAGCGUCACUCGCCACCCUCACCGCCAUCGACCUGGUGGCCAACGACGUCAACGUGCCCCCUAACUCGAAGCAACCGCCGUGCCCCGUGACAGCGAUACUGCUGGCGUGCCCGCGAGUCGGGAACCCCACGUUCAAGUCCGCCUUCG